UCAUAUUGCAUUCGCCCUCAGUGAACGAUCAUGGACAAUUAACAAAUGUUAGGCGGAGUGUUAAAACCCGCAAGUUACAACGUCUUUUUGUUGUUUAGGCUAGGGAGGAACUGGAGAGCCUUCGAGUAACAUUGGGUAACAAACUUUUAGGAGUUGAAUACCUUGGAAAACUUUUCUUGUAAAGCGGAAAAAGGUGGUGUUGAUGUCUAGUCAGCACGUCUAUGACGUCCUGGGCGACACACACGCUACAAUGGCUGAGACAAAGGGGGUCCAACCCUCUAGGGGGUGCCAAUCCCGGCAAACUCGCUCUCAGUUCGGAUUUCAGGCUGCAGCCAGCUCUAUGAAGCAGGAGUUAUUAGUAAUAUGGGUCAGCACAUCCAGGUGAAUAAGUUCCCGAGUUUGUUCACACCGCCUGUCACACUCAAAAGUCGGCUCACAUGAAGAGCUGGCCAACCCUUUAGAGAGCCACUUAGGGGGGGUCAGGAUGGUAAUGACAAUAAAAGGAUCUAGAUGCACAGAACAACC
This 525-nucleotide ribosomal RNA is filed under the name uncultured soil bacterium. RNAcentral describes it as "partial small subunit ribosomal RNA". The stretch from base 1 to 461 matches the Rfam family "Bacterial small subunit ribosomal RNA", at positions 1055 to 1533 of the family's 1533-position model. The record is from RNAcentral.